AGUGAACGCUGGCGGUAGGCCUAACACAUGCAAGUCGAACGGCAGCACAGUAAGAGCUUGCUCUUACGGGUGGCGAGUGGCGGACGGGUGAGGAAUACAUCGGAAUCUACUUUUUCGUGGGGGAUCACGUAGGGAAACUUACGCUCAUACCGCAUCCGCCCUACGGGUGAAAGCAGGGGAUCUUCGGACCUUGCGCGAUUGAAUUAGCCGAUGUCGGAUUAGCUAGUUGGCGGGGUAAAGGCCCACCAAGGCGACGAUCCGUAGCUGGUCUGAGAGGAUGAUCAGCCACACUGGAACGGAGACACGGUCCAGACUCCUACGGGAGGCAGCAGUGGGGAAUAUGGGACAAUGGGCGCAAGCCUGAUCCAGCCAUACCGCGUGGGUGAAGAAGGCCUUCGGGUUGUAAAGCCCUUUUGUUGGGAAAGAAAAGCAGCAGGUUAAGACCCCGCUGUUCUGACGGUACCCAAAGAAUAAGCACCGGCUAACUUCGUG
RNAcentral lists this ribosomal RNA (492 nucleotides) under uncultured bacterium. Its description in RNAcentral is "partial 16S ribosomal RNA". It matches the Rfam family "Bacterial small subunit ribosomal RNA", at positions 29 to 507 of the family's 1533-position model. The record is from RNAcentral.